AGUAUAGACGAAUGAUUAUCUAAAUGGGUCAUAUACUAUUUCAGCACGCUAAUGUAGAUCAACUAAACAGGGUUCUAUAAAAAGGUAUUAAAGUUUGGAACCAUAAACAAGACAAAUACAUUAAAAUAAAACAAUCUUUAAAAUAUUAUAAAUAUAAUGCCUUUAGGGCUUUCUAGGAAUGGAUUUUUGUGCCUGUUGCUUUAAAUGGAAAGGAGCUGCUGCUAAUUGCACCCCCUUUUAUGUUGCCUUCCUCAAGGGGGCAUUUGUUUCUUGCAGGUCCAUUUCUGCAAACAGGCAGAAAUGUGAGACUUUAAUUGUACUUAAAAGCCACAUUUAAGUGUAUAACGGAGAUUUUGCACAAUAUAGCCAAUUUAUUGAAACAGUAUGAUCAUAAUACUUCAGAAAAAUGUGAAAAUAUGUUCAGUUGUAGUAAAUGUCAAAGUAAAAGUAUAAUGGUU
This is a long non-coding RNA of Thalassophryne amazonica, 458 nucleotides long. RefSeq lists it as uncharacterized. The record is from RefSeq and is a predicted model, not a curated record. The transcript has 2 exons. NCBI's taxonomy places the organism in Eukaryota, Metazoa, Chordata, Actinopteri, Batrachoidiformes, Batrachoididae.